RNAcentral lists this ribosomal RNA (250 nucleotides) under uncultured bacterium. RNAcentral describes it as "partial 16S ribosomal RNA". It matches the Rfam family "Bacterial small subunit ribosomal RNA", at positions 524 to 773 of the family's 1533-position model. The record is from RNAcentral.
GACAGAGGUGGCGAGCGUUGUUCGGAAUUACUGGGCUUAAAGGGCGCGUAGGCGGUGGUGUAAGUCUGGGGUGGAAUGCUACAGCUCAACUGUAGAGCUGCCUUGGAAACUGCAUUACUUGAGUCGGUGAGGGGAAGGCGGAAUUCCUGGUGUAGCGGUGAAAUGCGUAGAUAUCAGGAGGAAGGUCUGUGGCGAAGGCGGCCUUCUGGCACUUGACUGACGCUGAGGCGCGAAAGCGUGGGGAGCAAAC